GAGUAACCUGCCCCAGACUCUGGGAUAACUCCGGGAAACCGGGGCUAAUACUGGAUAUCACUUCCUGGUGCAUGCCGGGUUGUUGAAAGGGUUUCUGGUCUGGGAUGGGCUCGCGGCCUAUCAGCUUGUUGGUGGGGUGAUGGCCUACCAAGGCGAUGACGGGUAGCCGGCCUGAGAGGGUGACCGGCCACACUGGGACUGAGACACGGCCCAGACUCCUACGGGAGGCAGCAGUGGGGAAUAUUGCACAAUGGGCGCAAGCCUGAUGCAGCGACGCCGCGUGAGGGAUGACGGCCUUCGGGUUGUAAACCUCUUUCAGUAGGGAAGAAGCCACUUGUGGUGACGGUACCUGCAGAAGAAGCGCCGGCUAACUACGUGCCAGCAGCCGCGGUAAUACGUAGGGCGCAAGCGUUGUCCGGAAUUAUUGGGCGUAAAGAGCUCGUAGGCGGUUUGUCGCGUCUGCUGUGAAAUCCUCAGGCUCAACUUGGGGCGUGCAGUGGGUACGGGCAGACUAGAGUGCGGUAGGGGAGACUGGAAUUCCUGGU
This 545-nucleotide ribosomal RNA is filed under the name uncultured bacterium. Its description in RNAcentral is "bacterial SSU rRNA". It matches the Rfam family "Bacterial small subunit ribosomal RNA", at positions 119 to 674 of the family's 1533-position model. The record is from RNAcentral.